UAAUACGUAGGGGGCAAGCGUUGUUCGGAAUUACUGGGCGUAAAGGGCGCGUAGGCGGCAUGGCAAGUCGGGAGUGAAAGCCCGGGGCUCAACCCCGGAACUGCUUUCGAAACUGCCAAGCUAGAGUACGGAAGGGGCAACUGGAAUUCCCAGUGUAGCGGUGAAAUGCGUAGAUAUUGGGAAGAACACCGGAGGCGAAGGCGGGUUGCUGGGCCGAUACUGACGCUGAGGCGCGAAAGCCAGGGGAGCAAACGGGAUUAGAUACCCCGGUAGUCCUGGCCCUAAACGAUGGAUACUUGGUGUGUGGGGUUCUCAAAGUCCCCGCGUGCCGGAGCUAACGCGUUAAGUAUCCCGCCUGGGGAGUACGGUCGCAAGGCUGAAACUCAAAUGAAUUGACGG
Molecule: ribosomal RNA, 399 nt
Filed under: uncultured bacterium
Lineage: Bacteria
Description: bacterial SSU rRNA
Rfam family: Bacterial small subunit ribosomal RNA
Source: RNAcentral